GUGCGGUGAGCCAGCUGUUCUUGUAUUCAGGUCUAUGUUCUUACAUACCCCAUAUGAAUGUAUAUGAAUGUUGCAAUUGGCCUUGUGCCUUUAAAACAAAUACAACUUUCAACAACGGAUCUCUUGGCUCUCGCAUCGAUGAAGAACGCAGCGAAAUGCGAUAAGUAAUGUGAAUUGCAGAAUUCAGUGAAUCAUCGAAUCUUUGAACGCACCUUGCGCUCCUUGGUAUUCCGAGGAGCAUGCCUGUUUGAGUGUCAUGAAAUUCUCAACCUCUCUGGUUUUCUGACUAGUUAGGCUUGGAUCAUGGAAGUUGUUGGCUCAAUUUGAAUCAACUCUUCUUAAAUAUAUUAGCAAAGGCUUUUGCUGACCAUCAUUGGUAUGAUAAUUAUCUAUAUCAUUGGUAGCCAGUUCCCUUCACAGGGGGUCUUGCUUCUAAUCGUCGUUUCGACAACUUGACAACUUUGACCUCAAAUCAGGUAGGACUACCCGCUGAACUUAAGCAUA
The sequence is a ribosomal RNA, 504 nucleotides long. The stretch from base 104 to 257 matches the Rfam family "5.8S ribosomal RNA".